RNAcentral lists this ribosomal RNA (474 nucleotides) under gamma proteobacterium C-18. Its description in RNAcentral is "bacterial SSU rRNA". It matches the Rfam family "Bacterial small subunit ribosomal RNA", at positions 30 to 499 of the family's 1533-position model. The record is from RNAcentral. Lineage: Bacteria; Pseudomonadati; Pseudomonadota; Gammaproteobacteria.
AUUGAACGCUGGCGGCAGGCCUAACACAUGCAAGUCGAGCGGUAACAUUUCUAGCUUGCUAGAAGAUGACGAGCGGCGGACGGGUGAGUAAUGCUUGGGAACAUGCCUUGAGGUGGGGGACAACAGUUGGAAACGACUGCUAAUACCGCAUAAUGUCUACGGACCAAAGGGGGCUUCGGCUCUCGCCUUUAGAUUGGCCCAAGUGGGAUUAGCUAGUUGGUGAGGUAAUGGCUCACCAAGGCGACGAUCCCUAGCUGGUUUGAGAGGAUGAUCAGCCACACUGGGACUGAGACACGGCCCAGACUCCUACGGGAGGCAGCAGUGGGGAAUAUUGCACAAUGGGCGCAAGCCUGAUGCAGCCAUGCCGCGUGUGUGAAGAAGGCCUUCGGGUUGUAAAGCACUUUCAGUCAGGAGGAAAGGUUAGUAGUUAAUACCUGCUAGCUGUGACGUUACUGACAGAAGAAGCACCGGCUA